AUCGAACGCUGGCGGCAGGCCUAACACAUGCAAGUCGAGCGGAUGAAGGGAGCUUGCUCCUGGAUUCAGCGGCGGACGGGUGAGUAAUGCCUAGGAAUCUGCCUGGUAGUGGGGGAUAACGUCCGGAAACGGGCGCUAAUACCGCAUACGUCCUGAGGGAGAAAGUGGGGGAUCUUCGGACCUCACGCUAUCAGAUGAGCCUAGGUCGGAUUAGCUAGUUGGUGGGGUAAAGGCCUACCAAGGCGACGAUCCGUAACUGGUUUGAGAGGAUGAUCAGUCACACUGGAACUGAGACACGGUCCAGACUCCUACGGGAGGCAGCAGUGGGGAAUAUUGGACAAUGGGCGAAAGCCUGAUCCAGCCAUGCCGCGUGUGUGAAGAAGGUCUUCGGAUUGUAAAGCACUUUAAGUUGGGAGGAAGGGCAGUAAGUUAAUACCUUGCUGUUUUGACGUUACCAACAGAAUAAGCACCGGCUAACUUCGUG
This 484-nucleotide ribosomal RNA is filed under the name uncultured bacterium. RNAcentral's name for it is "partial 16S ribosomal RNA". It matches the Rfam family "Bacterial small subunit ribosomal RNA", at positions 30 to 507 of the family's 1533-position model. The record is from RNAcentral.